This 476-nucleotide ribosomal RNA is filed under the name uncultured organism. RNAcentral describes it as "partial 16S ribosomal RNA". It matches the Rfam family "Bacterial small subunit ribosomal RNA", at positions 332 to 799 of the family's 1533-position model. The record is from RNAcentral.
UACACUCCUGCGGGAGGCAGCAGUGGGGAAUUUUGGACAAUGGGCGAAAGCCUGAUCCAGCAAUGCCGCGUGUGUGAAGAAGGCCUUCGGGUUGUAAAGCACUUUUGUCCGGAAAGAAAUCCUUGGCUCUAAUACAGUCGGGGGAUGACGGUACCGGAAGAAUAAGCACCGGCUAACUACGUGCCAGCAGCCGCGGUAAUACGUAGGGUGCGAGCGUUAAUCGGAAUUACUGGGCGUAAAGCGUGCGCAGGCGGUUUGCUAAGACCGAUGUGAAAUCCCCGGGCUCAACCUGGGAACUGCAUUGGUGACUGGCAGACUAGAGUAUGGCAGAGGGGGGUAGAAUUCCACGUGUAGCAGUGAAAUGCGUAGAGAUGUGGAGGAAUACCGAUGGCGAAGGCAGCCCCCUGGGCCAAUACUGACGCUCAUGCACGAAAGCGUGGGGAGCAAACAGGAUUAGAUACCCCGGUAGUCCCAUG